RNAcentral lists this ribosomal RNA (492 nucleotides) under uncultured bacterium. Its description in RNAcentral is "partial 16S ribosomal RNA". It matches the Rfam family "Bacterial small subunit ribosomal RNA", at positions 29 to 507 of the family's 1533-position model. The record is from RNAcentral.
AGUGAACGCUGGCGGUAGGCCUAACACAUGCAAGUCGAACGGCAGCACAGUAAGAGCUUGCUCUUACGGGUGGCGAGUGGCGGACGGGUGAGGAAUACAUCGGAAUCUACUUUUUCGUGGGGGAUAACGUAGGGAAACUUACGCUAAUACCGCAUACGACCUACGGGUGAAAGCAGGGGAUCUUCUGACCUUGCGCGAUUGAAUGAGCCGAUGUCGGCUUAGCUAGGUGGCGGGGUAAAGGCCCACCAAGGCGACGAUCCGUAGCUGGUCUGAGAGGAUGAUCAGCCACACUGGAACGGAGCCACGGUCCAGACGCCUACGGGAGGCAGCAGUGGGGAAUAUUGGACAAUGGGCGCAAGCCUGAUCCAGCCAUACCGCGUGGGUGAAGAAGGCCUUCGGGUUGUAAAGCCCUUUUGUUGGGAAAGAAAAGCAGCAGGUUAAUACCCCGCUGUUCUGACGGUACCCAAAGAAUAAGCACCGGCUAACUUCGCG